Molecule: ribosomal RNA, 1026 nt
Filed under: Phyllosphingia dissimilis
Lineage: Eukaryota; Metazoa; Arthropoda; Insecta; Lepidoptera; Sphingidae
Description: SSU rRNA
Rfam family: Eukaryotic small subunit ribosomal RNA
Source: RNAcentral
AUUAGCCAUGCAUGUCUCAGUGCAAGCCGUAUUAAGGCGAUACCGCGAAUGGCUCAAUAUAUCAGUUUUGGUUCCUUAGAUCUUACUCGGUUACUUGGAUAACUGUGGUAAUUCUAGAGCUAAUACAUGCAAUCAGAACUCUGACCAGUGAUGGGAUGAGUGCUUUUAUUAGAUCAAAACCAAUCGACGGAGGGCCUCGCGUCCGAAGUCGUUAAUUUUGAUGAAUCUGGAUAACUUUUGCCGAUCGCACGGUCCAGUACCGGCGACGCAUCUUUCAAAUGUCUGCCUUAUCAACUUUCGAUGGUAGUUUCUGCGACUACCAUGGUUGUCACGGGUAACGGGGAAUCAGGGUUCGAUUCCGGAGAGGGAGCCUGAGAAACGGCUACCACAUCCAAGGAAGGCAGCAGGCGCGCAAAUUACCCACUCCCGGCACGGGGAGGUAGUGACGAAAAAUAACGAUACGGGACUCUUACGAGGCCUCGUAAUCGGAAUGAGUACACUUUAAAUAUUUUAACGAGGAACAAUUGGAGGGCAAGUCUGGUGCCAGCAGCCGCGGUAAUUCCAGCUCCAAUAGCGUAUACUAAAAUUGUUGCGGUUAAAAAGCUCGUAGUUGCAUUUGUGCGCCGCGCUGUCGGUGCAACGCAUCCGCGUUGAUACUGACACGUUUGCGGAGCAUAUCGUCGGUGAGCCGGCGUUAACAAGCGUCGGUUCAAUAUCAAAAUCCUAUCGCGGUGCUCUUCGUCGGGUGUCGAGAUGGGCCGACAAUUUUACUUUGAACAAAUUAGAGUGCUCAAAGCGGGCUCAAAAUGCUGCUUGAAUAUUUCGUGCAUGGAAUAAUAGAAUAUGAUCUCGGUUCUAUUUUGUUGGUUUUCAGAAACUCCGAGGUAAUGAUUAAUAGGGAUAACUGGGGGGCAUUUCGUAUUGCGACGUUAGAGGUGAAAUUCUUUGGAUCGUCGCAAGACGAACAUCAGCGAAAGCAUUUGCCAAAGGUGUUUUCAUCAAUCAAGAACGAAAGUUAGAAGGGUU